This 70-nucleotide transfer RNA is filed under the name Dipodomys ordii (Ord's kangaroo rat). It matches the Rfam family "tRNA". Rfam says of the family: Transfer RNA (tRNA) molecules are approximately 80 nucleotides in length. Their secondary structure includes four short double-helical elements and three loops (D, anti-codon, and T loops). The record is from Rfam by way of RNAcentral. Lineage: Eukaryota; Metazoa; Chordata; Mammalia; Rodentia; Heteromyidae.
GGGAAUGUGGCUUAGUGGUAGAGCGUUUGCCUAGCAUGCAUGAAGCCCUGGGUUUGAUUCCUCAGUACCA